GGCACUGUAGCUUAGUUGGUCAAAGUGCCUACCUUGUAAACAGGAGAUCUUGCUUUCAAAUUCCAGCAGUCCCU
Molecule: non-coding RNA, 74 nt
Organism: Danio rerio (zebrafish)
Lineage: Eukaryota; Metazoa; Chordata; Actinopteri; Cypriniformes; Danionidae
Source: Rfam